AUUAUUCUUCGGGGCAGGGUGUAAUUCCCGACCGGCGGUGACAAACAUAUCGAGUUUGAAGUCCGUGACCCGCGUUUAGCGGUGGAUCUAGUGAGAUUCUAGAGCCGACAGUAAUAGUCUGGAUGGGAGAAGAAAAGU
Oceanobacillus oncorhynchi is the source of this 138-nucleotide regulatory RNA element. It matches the Rfam family "FMN riboswitch aptamer (RFN element)". From Rfam's summary of the family: The RFN element is a highly conserved domain that is found frequently in the 5'-untranslated regions of prokaryotic mRNAs that encode for flavin mononucleotide (FMN) biosynthesis and transport proteins. This element is a metabolite-dependent riboswitch that directly binds FMN in the absence of proteins. The record is from Rfam. NCBI's taxonomy places the organism in Bacteria, Bacillati, Bacillota, Bacilli, Caryophanales, Bacillaceae.